GCCCGGGUGGUGAAAUUGGUAGACACGCAGGUCUCAGAAGCCUGUGGCCUAAACAGCCAUGCUGGUUCAAGUCCAGUCCCGGGCACAA
Molecule: transfer RNA, 88 nt
Filed under: Ignavibacteria bacterium
Lineage: Bacteria; Pseudomonadati; Ignavibacteriota; Ignavibacteria
Description: tRNA-Leu
Rfam family: tRNA
About the family: Transfer RNA (tRNA) molecules are approximately 80 nucleotides in length. Their secondary structure includes four short double-helical elements and three loops (D, anti-codon, and T loops).
Source: RNAcentral